RNAcentral lists this ribosomal RNA (234 nucleotides) under uncultured bacterium. RNAcentral describes it as "partial 16S ribosomal RNA". It matches the Rfam family "Bacterial small subunit ribosomal RNA", at positions 100 to 334 of the family's 1533-position model. The record is from RNAcentral.
CGGGACGGGUGAGUAAUGUCUGGGAAACUAGCCUGAUGGAGGGGGAUAACUACUGGAAACGGUAGCUAAUACCGCAUAACGUCGCAAGACCAAAGAGGGGGACCUUCGGGCCUCUUGCCAUCGGAUGUGCCCAGAUGGGAUUAGCUAGUAGGUGGGGUAACGGCUCACCUAGACGACGAUCCCUAGCUGGUCUGAGAGGAUGACCAGCCACACUGGAACUGAGACACGGUCCAG